RNAcentral lists this ribosomal RNA (403 nucleotides) under Fusobacteriota bacterium. Its description in RNAcentral is "Fusobacteria bacterium partial 16S ribosomal RNA". It matches the Rfam family "Bacterial small subunit ribosomal RNA", at positions 355 to 776 of the family's 1533-position model. Lineage: Bacteria; Fusobacteriati; Fusobacteriota. The record is from RNAcentral.
UGGGGAAUCUUGCACAAUGGGGGAAACCCUGAUGCAGCGACGCCGCGUGAGCGAUGAAGGUUUUCGAAUCGUAAAGCUCUGUCCUAUGGGAAGAUAAUGACGGUACCAUGGGAGGAAGCCCCGGCUAACUACGUGCCAGCAGCCGCGGUAAUACGUAGGGGGCGAGCGUUGUCCGGAAUUACUGGGCGUAAAGGGUUCGCAGGCGGCAUGGCAAGUCCGAUGUAAAAGGCGAAGGCUCAACCUUCGUAAGCAUCGGAAACUGUCAAGCUUGAGUGAAGGAGAGGCAAGUGGAAUUCCUAGUGUAGCGGUGGAAUGCGUAGAUAUUAGGAGGAAUACCGGUGGCGAAGGCGACUUGCUAGACGUCAACUGACGCUGAGGAACGAAAGCGUGGGUAGCAAACAGG